CUUACCUUCUAAUUCUAUAGACUAUUAAAAAAAAACCCACACACAACUCGGAACUAUUUCUAAUUCACUUAGACUACUGAUAUGCAAACCUAAAUACAAAAAAAAAUAUUAUAAAAUAGUUAUUGAAAGAUUCAUAACACUUUGAAAGGAUAAUUCAGACACGUGUUACACGGGGAGCAUGUUUGUUUACAAACAAUAAUGUCACGUGAUCGCGCACUGACCUCGCAUGCUGCAUCGCCC
RNAcentral lists this long non-coding RNA (240 nucleotides) under Mytilus galloprovincialis (Mediterranean mussel). Lineage: Eukaryota; Metazoa; Mollusca; Bivalvia; Mytilida; Mytilidae. The record is from RNAcentral.